This 165-nucleotide small RNA is filed under the name Streptomyces cyaneogriseus. RNAcentral's name for it is "c-di-AMP sequence". It matches the Rfam family "c-di-AMP riboswitch aptamer (ydaO/yuaA leader)". Rfam says of the family: This family represents a conserved RNA structure found upstream of the ydaO and yuaA genes in Bacillus subtilis and related genes in other bacteria. The ydaO/yuaA element is thought to act as a genetic "off" switch for the ydaO and yuaA genes in its native state. It is believed that the element may be triggered during osmotic shock leading to activation of ydaO, a predicted amino acid transporter gene, and members of the yuaA-yubG operon which code for KtrA and KtrB K+ transporters. Lineage: Bacteria; Bacillati; Actinomycetota; Actinomycetes; Kitasatosporales; Streptomycetaceae. The record is from RNAcentral.
CGUACUCACCCACCACCCGUACACGGCAGGAGCGGGGGACCCACAGGUAUCACCGCCUGUUCCGGUCUCCGGAACGGCUCGGGGUAAAGCCGCACCGCACCCGGUGCGGCCGGGCAUCUCCAGCCCGCACCCGACAGCUCACCUCGCAGGCGCCGGAGAGGAAUU